GACUGUCCGUUACUUGACUUUCUAUAUAUAUAUAUGUAUAUAUGUAUAUAUAUAUAUAUAUGUAUAUAUUUAUAUAUAUACACAUAUAUAUAUAUACAUAUAUAUAUAUACACACAUAUAUAUAUACAUAUAUUUUUUUUUUCUUUUUUUUUCUUUUUUUUUUAAGGCAGCGUCGCAUCGCCUCAACGACGUCGCUAUGGCGAUGCGACGUUGC
This 214-nucleotide long non-coding RNA is filed under the name Musa acuminata (dwarf banana). RNAcentral's name for it is "long non-coding RNA (MACU_LNC009526)". The record is from RNAcentral. Lineage: Eukaryota; Viridiplantae; Streptophyta; Magnoliopsida; Zingiberales; Musaceae.